UGAAUACGAGACGCUAAGGCGUCGAAGUAGUGUAUGUCAUACUUCCAAGAAAAGCUUGCACUGUCAUAGAUAAAAAACGCCUGUACCAUAACCGACACAGGUGGGUAGGUAGAGUAUACUAAGGGGCGCGAGAUAACUCUCUCUAAGGAACUCGGCAAAAUAACUCCGUAACUUCGGGAGAAGGAGUGCCUUAUUCGUAAGGUUGCGAUAACAAGAUCCAAGCAACUGUUUAUCAAAAACACAGGUCUCCGCUAAGUCGUAAGACGAUGUAUGGGGGCUGACGCCUGCCCAGUGCCAGAAGGUUAAAGAAGUUGGUUAGCAAUUGCGAAGCUGAUAACUGAAGCCCUGGUGAACGGCGGCCGUAACAAUAACGGUCCUAAGGUAGCGAAAUUCCUUGUCGGGUAAGUUCCGACCCGCACGAAAGGCGUAAUGAUUUGGAUACUGUCUCGGAGAGGGGCUCGGUGAAAUAGACUUGUCUGUGAAGAUGCGGACUACCUGCACCAGGACAGAAAGACCCUAUGAAGCUUUACUGUAACUUGUAAUUGAAAUUGGACUUUAUUCGCGCAGUAUAGGUGGGAGGCGUUGAUUAUAAUCUUGUGGGAUUAUUGGAGCCAUCAGUGAGAUACCACUCUUGUAAUGUUAGAUUUCUAACUUUGAAUCAUUAUCUGGUCAAAGAACAGUUUCAGGCGGGCAGUUUGACUGGGGCGGUCGCCUCCUAAACGGUAACGGAGGCGUACAAAGGUUUCCUCUGAACGGUUAGAAAUCGUAUCUAGAGUGUAAAGGCAUAAGGAAGCUUGACUGUGAGACCUACAAGUCGAGCAGGGACGAAAGUCGGUCUUAGUGAUCUGACGGUACUGAGUGGAAAGGCCGUCACUCAACGGAUAAAAGUUACCCUAGGGAUAACAGGCUGAUCUCCCCCAAGAGUUCACAUCGACGGGGAGGUUUGGCACCUCGAUGUCGGCUCAUCGCAUCCUGGGGCGGUAGUACGUCCCAAGGGUUGGGCUGUUCGCCCAUGAAAGCGGUACGCGAGCUGGGUUCAGAACGUCGUGAGACAGUUCGGUCCAUAUCCGGUGUAGGCGUUAGAAUAUUGAGAGGAGCCUUCUUUAGUACGAGAGGACCGAGAAGGACAUACCUCUGGUGUACCAGUUAUCGUGCCAACGGUAAACGCUGGGUAGCUAUGUAUGGAGUGGAUAACCGCUGAAAGCAUCUAAGUGGGAAGCCCACCUCAAGAUAAGUAUUCUCAU
Molecule: ribosomal RNA, 1244 nt
Filed under: metagenome
Description: bacterial LSU rRNA
Rfam family: Bacterial large subunit ribosomal RNA
Source: RNAcentral